This is a long non-coding RNA of Mus musculus (house mouse), 4779 nucleotides long. RefSeq annotates it as predicted gene, 39804. The record is from RefSeq and is a predicted model, not a curated record. The transcript is spliced from 3 exons. NCBI's taxonomy places the organism in Eukaryota, Metazoa, Chordata, Mammalia, Rodentia, Muridae.
ACAUGCAAAGAUGGUAUUGUAGCAUUGUAACCAGCUCCUGGGGGUCAAGUGAGUUACUCUUUGCUGAUCUCUCAGCUCUCUGCCUAACAUGGCAAACUGUAUGAACCUAACCUAUGAACCAACGUUGGUUCGGUUUCAAUAAGUAAAGGACUCUUCACUAUGCCUUGUUUAAGGUUAACCUUGCUUAUAAUCAUGGUCUAUUAAAAGGUGGUCUUUGACAACUGAGGCAAACACGAACACUAGAAAAUACACACACAGACAAACUUAGAGUUCCUUGGCAAAACCCAUUCCUUCCCUCACAUUUCACCUAUCUCAAAAUUGCAAGUUACCUUUGGAGCUUGCCAUAAUACUCUCCUGCCAAUCCUGACUGCACUCGGGGUUGUUUUGAAGGUAGAGUACUAUAUAAAUAAAAGACGAGGCCCUGCAGAUAACCAAGUGGAAAAGCACAGUUGCUGGCACUCAGAAUAUGAGGUAACCUCUUUUAAUUAGAAUGUACAAUUUUAGAUUACUGACUAUGAACAUCAUGGGACCUGAGAUUUUGAUUCAUCAGUAAUUCUCCUUUAUGUUUCACUAAGAUGUAAAAAUCAGACCUCUGCUCUCACACAGAUCUGGCUCCUCACAGAGCUACCGCUUUUACCUGUGAUCUCCAGUACUGCUCUGCCCCCUUGUGCUGCUGCGGUGAACUCGGCAUAGAACCGUGUGUCUUCCUCCUCCCGGAUGAACUACAGAAAAGCCCACUGUCACUUCUCACUUUUCUGGCAAGUUCAAGUCUCUACUGACAUCGGUGGUAGACUUUGAAGUUCGGAGCCAUUUCCAGGAGGCAUAUUGAGGGAAGAAGAAGUUGUUUCUGGGUCCUCUGAAUGGUUAUGGUGCUUUGAACACUCAUGAACACAGAGAAGAGAAGAUGACUGGAGCCCAGCUCAGGAGCAUUGAGAGAGCACAUGAGAAAGUUAAGAAACAGUAGCUUCCACUGGAGGAUGGUGCUUACUGAGUACUCACCACCUGUAUGAAGUACAGCCUUAAGAUUUGCCUCUGGGUUUACUGGGGCUAUGGAUGAAAAAGAUUUUGUCUUUCCAAAUCUCUGAUGUUGAAAAUGUAACCUCUAGGAGUGAGGUUAGGGGCUGUAGUUUGGGUAAGAACUUCUAUUAAAGCACACUUUAAUAGAGAAUAGCUCACUUCUUCUACCAUGUGAGGGCAUAACCAGAAGGCAGCAUCCGUGGGAAUGUUCCUCUCCAGAUUUUGAGCUUGGUCUUCCCAGUUUAUUUAUUUACUUUUUAGACUGCUGAGUUUAUGCCCAAACAGACAGGAAGAAUGGUAUUUUAUAUGCUAGCUUAAAAAGAAAUAAAUCACUGGGACAUGUUUUAGAUAUUAAGCAUUAAUAAAGAGACAGCACGAAAGGGUUAAUGGUAAGGAUUCAUAUUAUUACCUGGAUGAGAGAUAUCAAAGUCCUUGGUGAAGCAAGGAUAGCAGCUUCCUUGGUGGUGGAUCAGAGUUGUUCCUGGCUGGAAGGGAUAUUCUGUCUGACAUUACUGAGAAACUGACUGGAGUUCUAUGAGACCAGUCAGGUGUCAUGCUAUCACAAUGACCCACAGCAGAGAUGACUAAGGCAUGGACCAAACUGGAACAUGAAGAGAAGACAACAGCUAAAUUAUGGAAGGAGUUGGAAAACAGAUCGACCUGCAUUUCUGUCUUGAGCAGUCAAGGAUACAUCAGCUGUAGGUGCGAGAGAAAUGUCUUCAGAAGAGCAGGGUGGGCGCACUGAAGCACUGAGGCUUCACGUAGUGGGACUGACCUCUGAGAAGCUGUCUGUCCUCACAGCGCACUUAGCCAGAGUGCAGCUGGACAUGAAGGUGCGAGACUAGGGAAAAGAGCUGGGCUAACGGUGUCUCUCUGAAAGUCAGAAACAUUUAGCACUUGAUCGUGUGACUGGAUAUGGAAGUUUAGAGUGGUCACAGAAAAGAGAAAGGGUCAAGAUAGGUCCCAGUGCUCAACGUAAAGAUUGCAAAAGGAAAAAACAGCAACAGCAAAAGAGACACAUUUUACUUUAAGAAAGAGAAGAAGGAGGAGCUCAAAUUGAUUUUAGCUACAGAAUGGUGAAGGUCACUGUAGCCUUGAUAAAAAUAGGUCUUCUUGGAUAUGGGAGAAAGAAAUUUCAUUAUGCAGAGAUGCUGAGGUGGAUCAGGGAAUAAGGACACUUAGUGCCAAUUCUGAUGACCUAUGUUAGACCCAUGGGAUCCACGUGGUGAAAGGAGAUAAUCAAAUCUCAGAAAAUGUUCUCUGACCACUACACAUGCAUCUUAGUACAAGCAAACACAAACAUAAACACAUACAUAAACACACACACACACUCACACACAUGCACGUGCACACAUGAGCACACACAAACACCUGCCCACACGUACUUCGGAAAGGAAAAACCUAUUUUAAUAGAUAAAAAACAAGAGCUAUGACCAUGUUUUAAGGAACUUUUAUGUGUCAAGAAAUGUUAAAAAUGAGAGGAAGAUACGGUGCCCAAGAAAGAAAUGGAGCCACAGGGACUCAUUUUAUAUGUUUUUGCUUCUUUAGACUGGGAAAUGAACACAAGAAUACAGAAAAUGAGGACUGACAGGAACAAGAAACUCAGGAUACUUAGGAGGGAAAACAGGGAAUUGUGGGAAAUGUCCUCAGAAACGGGAGAGGUGCCUGUUUGGAACUAGGUAUUAGGGUAAGCCUUGGCCUUGGCUGCGAGUGUGAGAAGUCUCAGAAGCAGAGAUCUAGCUUGAGUUCCAGGGCAAAAUGAAGAAACACAGAGAUUUUUCCUGCCUGGAGCCACUAGAACUUCCCUUCUGAUUGUUGCAGCAUAGGAGAAUGGUAAGGAGAACUAAGAUUCCAGAAAAUGAGACAAAAAUGAGGUUUUCAGGAGGAAGGGGCAGGAGAACAGCACAGCAAUGUGAAAUUGUGUACUGUCAGGAACAUCCAGGCCAACCUGUGUCCUGGAGCUUGGACACAGGGUCUUGCAGAGAUGUUCAAAAUGACCUAGGGAGGUUCUCUGAGGAUCAUAGUAGGACUUGGGAAUUCUGUGUGUUUUUAAGUACCGGCAUUUGAAAAAAAUGUGUGCAUAUGUGAUAAAAUUUUGAUUUCUUAUGCAAGAGUGGAUUACAAACAUCAGAAUCAGAUAUUGAUAGGAAGAAAAUUGUAAUCAUUCUCACAAACUAGGGUUAUACCCUUAUGCGGGGAAGAAACUGUAUGUACCCAGUCUCUCAUUUUGAUUUUCAAGGCUGAAGUCAAAGCUGGGCUAAUUUUAAUGAUUCAGUGAACAGAGGACCAGUUGUUGCUAUGACACAAAACAAGCAACUUGGUGGAGCAGUGACUCCAAGGAGAGGAGGCAGUGUUUUGAGCUUCAUGUGUAGACAUUGAUAAUUAAUGGUAAUGAGAGGAAAGGGGAACAGACCAAGGUGGGGAAGUGUGACAUUUCUGAUAAGACAACGUGUGAUACAGGACCUGGAACUACUUAGGCGUUUAACCCGAGGGCUGAGAUUCAGAGAAAGAAAAAGAGAAGUAGAGGCAACGUUGAGUUUGCUUAGGCAUCUGAGUUAUAACUGAAGUGUUUAUGUGUCUUAAAGCAGAGAGCAAACAGGUAUCACACAGAGUCUGAAACGUCAAGGCAAGAAGAGGGACUUAUGGGUAUUGUAGAAGUUCCUAAGCUGUGCAGCAGCAAUUUAAAGAUAAGAGCAUGCGACUCUGUCAUGUUUCAUCCCCCACUGCCAUCAAAGCAAGGCUACUGCACCUUGAUAUAUUGUAUUCAUCUUGCAUGUUUGCGUUUUAUAUCAAGAAAGGCUCUACUCAUGUAAUUUAUUUAAAUGUUUACAAAGUAAAAUUCUUCAGAGGCAACUCUAGCCUCAGAAUGGCUUCUUAAGGCCUCAGGGCCGUGGGUCAUGUACACCGGUCAGGUCUCAAAAACCAUGGGUCUGCCUUCUGCGCCCCGGGCGUCAUUUUGAGAAUUCUAAAUAUUUCACUCUCGGAUGAGAGAAGCAGAAGCAGCAAGAGGUGUAUUUACGAGACGACGUUCCGUAGGUCAGUGGCAACGAAAGCUGUGGUGAAAACUUCCUGUUGCAGCAACACUCCCUUCUGAGAGGAUGCUCUCUGCCUGCACAGGCAAAGCUAUUAAAGCAUACAUUAAUGCCAAGCUCAUAAUCAAGCCACCUCUGAAAUGAAGCUGCCUCUCAGAGUGACAGGGUCUAUGGAAAUCACCAGCUAACUGAGCCAAGUUGAAAGGAACGCAACCCCCGGGCCAGAGAGUUUCAAAUCAGCAAGGGAAGGAGGACGUGGCUCCAAGGCUCACUGAAGCCAUGAGGUAGAAGCCAUUGCUGCCUUGAAUCCGGACCAUAGAGUGUCUACAACUGCAACAAAAGAGGAACUUAAAAUAGACAAAACCAGGAAAGCUUCUGAUCUUGAGGCAGAGCAAAAGUUGAAGAGAAACUGAAAAUGAGUUCUUGCUGAGGCGCUAAAAUUACAAUCACUGGUCUCAUAUUGAAACCCAAUGGUAGACUCCAAUGUUAAACAGCUUUCAAGGCAGGGAAACCUCUCUGUCCUUUUCCAGAAGCAGAUGAGAAGUGGCCACCACGAAUCAGUGCUCAGCCGUCGUCCCCAACCCCAGCACUAGUAGGUGUGAGUCCAGUGUAAAAAUGCACUCUUAGCGAGAAACUGUCAACCUUUCCCAAGGCCUGUAGUAAAAAACAAACAAACAAAGAAACAAACAAACAAAAAAACAAAAGCAAACAACUAAAAAUCCCAAACACA